Non-coding RNA from Doryrhamphus excisus (bluestripe pipefish), 402 nucleotides. Lineage: Eukaryota; Metazoa; Chordata; Actinopteri; Syngnathiformes; Syngnathidae. The record is from RefSeq and is a predicted model, not a curated record.
AGGCUGGCGCUUGCUCGUCUAUAAACAAACCCCUGUUGUGUUUUGCAUCAAAGCCUUGUCUACUCAGAGCUGCAGUGACAUUCCUUUGGAUUACGCUUGCGUUGCGAGAGCGGAGCAGUGAGGCAAGACGACACAAUCAACAACGAGUGCUAUUUUUCAGCCGCGCGUCCACACCAAGAAGACACCAGCAUUCUUCUGUAUGCCAAAACUUCCUGUUUAUGCUUUGGGUUUUUUAAUGCCUUGCGCCUUUUGUCAUUUUUUUGGCAACUUCUUGAAAACUGCUUUGCUAUUCUGACUCAGCUCUACCUUCACCACAACAGUCUGCAUGCAUCAAUAUAGCAAUGUCACGUAUCCUAUUUAUUAUGUAUUGUGUAAAACUAAAAGAAGAACAACAUCCACCAA